CUCAACUUCCCCCGCCCACCUCCAUCCACCCUCCGGGCUCCUCCGGACUAUAGGUAACCUCCUAGACUGUAGGUAGCCCGGGUGCAGGGAUCAGGCAGUCCUGUGGCAGAGCAUCCCACCACGUGACACUCCGCACUCUGCACACCCCAAAACGCCCAGGCUCUCCCACUCGUCACCGUUGUUAAUAAUACCCCACGGCCUCCUCUCCGUUUCUGUGCCAACCCUCUUUCAGGCGCCACACCCUUCUAUAUCUACUUGCCUCCCUCUGGAGGCCCUCCGAACGCCUUAAACACAGCUUGCCUAGAAGUCAUCUUUCUGCUAACUUUGCUCUUUCUUUCCUCCCCUAACGUAGUAACGGCCCCACCAUCUGCUCAGAGAUUCAAGCCCCAAGUAGGAGUCAUUUUGACACCUCUCCCUUCACCCCUACUCCUCUCCUGUCAGUUAUCUAAUCCUGUUCACCUCAUCUCCUAAACAACUCCAAUCCAAACAUUUGCCUCCAGCUGCUCUGCCACUCUAUUCCAUUCUUCUCAUCUGGUCUCCCCACCUCUGACUUUAUCUUGGCCCUAGUAGCUCUGCUUCUACAGAAUAAGUAGGGUGAUCCUUCUACAAUGCAAAUUGCUGCUGUAAAAUCUUGUAAAAUGCUGUAAAAUGGCUUCCCACCAACCAUUGGGCCUUGAACUGACAUUUACAUUGGCAUGGCCACUGACCGUUACCACAAUAGUUGGUUGGUGGGUUGAGAAAGGCUGAGAACCAUGACACCAGAUAUUCCCUUAGUCCCUUCCAUUGUGGCAUCAGAAGUUCUGCAUCCCAGUUAUGGCCUGCUGCCUUUCAAAUCACUGUAAAAGAACUCUCCUACUGACUGUGAAGGAAGACACACUGACUUACCUGGGGAACCUGGCCAGCCCACCUGGAUCCAAGGACCUGCCUGCCAUAAAACAGCUCCUGUCAUACUUGGCCCUGAUAUGAUAUUCAUACCGCCACUCACCCUUGGUCCCUUCCGGAAGUACUAAAGAGGGGGCACACCAGGAACUGCUGAGCCACGACAGGAACUCCUUGUGAAUAUCCCACUUCUUGUGGAAGGCUGGGAGUUCAUGGACUGGGUAUUUUUUCUUCUCUGCUGAGGACCAGAGUGGCACUGUGGCUCUGGGGCUCAUUUACACAGGGCCAAGUCCCUAAGCAAUUUUACAUCUGCUUUUCCAAAAGAAAAGAGCCUUGGAGUUCCCUUUGUGACCCAGCGGUUAACGAUCCCAACUAGGAUCCAUGAGGACAUGGGUUUGAUCCCUGGCGUCACUCAGUG
Sus scrofa (pig) is the source of this 1297-nucleotide non-coding RNA. The record is from RefSeq and is a predicted model, not a curated record. NCBI's taxonomy places the organism in Eukaryota, Metazoa, Chordata, Mammalia, Artiodactyla, Suidae.